This 1559-nucleotide ribosomal RNA is filed under the name human gut metagenome. Its description in RNAcentral is "bacterial LSU rRNA". It matches the Rfam family "Bacterial large subunit ribosomal RNA", at positions 1341 to 2925 of the family's 2925-position model. The record is from RNAcentral.
AUAUCUAAGGUUUCCAGAGUAAAGCUGAUCUGCUCUGGGUAAGUCGGGGCCUAAGGCGAGGUCGAAAGACGUAGUCGAUGGAUAACAGGUUGAAAUUCCUGUACUAUCCUGUAACAGAACUGUGGGGACACAGGCAGAGAGCGUGAGCCGGGAAUGGAAAGACCGGUACAAGCGAGGUAGGAGAAGAGCUGGCAAAUCCGCUCUUCAAUCUGAAGACGUGAUGUGGACCGAAAAGAAGUAGGGAAGCACGUGAGCUGACUGUCAAGAAAAGCCGCUAUUGUUUGCAGGAUACCCGUACCGUAAACCGACACAGGUGGAUGAGGAGAGAAUCCUAAGGCCGACGGGAGAAGCAUUGUUAAGGAACUCGGCAAAAUGACUCCGUAACUUCGGGAGAAGGAGUGCCAGUAAGAUGGCCGCAGAGAAUUGGCCCAAGCAACUGUUUAGCAAAAACACAGGUCUAUGCAAAACCGAAAGGUGAGGUAUAUGGGCUGACGCCUGCCCGGUGCUGGAAGGUUAAGGGGAGAGGUUAGCGCAAGCGAAGCUUUGAACUUAAGCCCCAGUAAACGGCGGCCGUAACUAUAACGGUCCUAAGGUAGCGAAAUUCCUUGUCGGGUAAGUUCCGACCCGCACGAAAGGCGUAAUGAUUUGGGCACUGUCUCAACAAUGCACCCGGUGAAAUUGAAAUACCAGUGAAGAUGCUGGUUACCUGCGCCAGGACGGAAAGACCCCAUGGAGCUUUACUCCAGCUUGAUACUGGGAUUCGGUAUUGUAUGUACAGGAUAGGUGGGAGGCUUUGAAGUGGUUACGCCAGUAGCCAUGGAGCCGCUGUUGGGAUACCACCCUUGCAGUACUGGGUUUCUAACCAGCAGCCGUGAUCCGGCUGGGGGACAAUGUCAGGUGGGGAGUUUGACUGGGGCGGUCGCCUCCGAAAGGGUAUCGGAGGCGCUCAAAGGUUCCCUCAGAAUGGUUGGAAACCAUUCGAAGAGUGCAAAGGCAGAAGGGAGCUUGACUGCGACACCGACGGGUGGAGCAGGUACGAAAGUAGGACUUAGUGAUCCGGUGGUAUAAAGUGGGAUUGCCAUCGCUCAACGGAUAAAAGCUACCCUGGGGAUAACAGGCUUAUCACUCCCAAGAGUUCACAUCGACGGAGUGGUUUGGCACCUCGAUGUCGGCUCAUCGCAUCCUGGGGCUGUAGUAGGUCCCAAGGGUUGGGCUGUUCGCCCAUUAAAGCGGUACGCGAGCUGGGUUCAGAACGUCGUGAGACAGUUCGGUCCCUAUCCGGCGUGGGCGUAGGAUAUCUGAGAGGAGCUGUCCUUAGUACGAGAGGACCGGGAUGGACGGGCCGCUGGUGCAUCGGUUAGACUGCCAAGUCUACGGCCGAGUAGCCAAGCCCGGAAGGGAUAAACGCUGAAGGCAUCUAAGCGUGAAGCCCCCCUCAAGAUGAGAUAUCCCAUUCGAAAGAAGUAAGACCCCUUGAAGACGACGAGGUAGAUAGGGCAGAGGUGGAAGUGCAGUAAUGCAUGGAGCUGACUGUUACUAAUCGGGUGAGGGCUUGACCA